AGAGUUUGAUCCUGGCUCAGAUUGAACGCUGGCGGCAUGCUUAACACAUGCAUGUCGAACGGAAACGCGAAGAGCUUGCUCUUUGGCGUCGAGUGGCGGACGGGUGAGUAACGCGUGGGAAUCUACCCAGUAGUGGAGGACAGCCAGGAGAAAUCCUGAUUAAUACUGCAUACGAUCUACGGAUGAAAGAUGGCCUCUAUUUAUAAGCUAUCGCUAUUGGAUGAGCCCGCGUUAGAUUAGCUAGUUGGUGGGGUAAGAGCCUACCAAGGCGACGAUCUAUAGCUGGUCUGAGAGGACGACCAGCCACAUCGGGACUGAGACACGGCCCGGACUCCUACGGGAGGCAGCAGUGGGGAAUAUUGGACAAUGGGCGCAAGCCUGAUCCAGCAAUGCCGCGUGUGUGAAGAAGGCCUUAGGGUUGUAAAGCACUUUCAAUUGUGAAGAAGGGGUUAAGGCUAAUACCCUUGACUCUUGACGUUAACUUUAGAAGAAGCACCGGCUAACUCUGUGCCAGCAGCCGCGGUAAUACAGAGGGUGCAAGCGUUAAUCGGAAUUACUGGGCGUAAAGCGCGCGUAGGCGGUUAGAUAAGUCAGAUGUGAAAUCCCCGGGCUCAACCUGGGAACUGCACCUGAUACUGUUUAACUAGAGUUUGGGAGAGGGAAGUAGAAUUUCAGGUGUAGCGGUGAAAUGCAUAGAGAUCUGAAGGAAUACCAGUGGCGAAGGCGACUUCCUGGCCUAAAACUGACGCUGAGGUGCGAAAGCGUGGGUAGCAAACGGGAUUAGAUACCCCGGUAGUCCACGCCGUAAACGAUGUCAACUAGUCGUUGGAUCCCUUGAGGGUUCAGUGACGCAGCUAACGCAUUAAGUUGACCGCCUGGGGAGUACGGUCGCAAGACUAAAACUCAAAGGAAUUGACGGGGGCCCGCACAAGCGGUGGAGCAUGUGGUUUAAUUCGAUGCAACGCGAAGAACCUUACCAUCCCUUGACAUCCGGAGAAUCUGCAAGAGAUUGCUUAGUGCCUUCGGGAACUCCGUGACAGGUGCUGCACGGCUGUCGUCAGCUCGUGUCGUGAGAUGUUGGGUUAAGUCCCGCAACGAGCCAACCCCUAUCCUUGGUUGCUAACAGGUUAAGCUGAGAACUCCAGGGAGACUGCCGGUGACAAACCGGAGGAAGGUGGGGACGACGUCAAGUCAUCAUGCCCCUUAUGGGAUGGGCUACACACGUGCUACAAUGGCCAGUACAGAGGGUCGCGAACUCGCGAGAGUAAGCUAAUCCCACAAAGCUGGUCGUAGUCCGGAUUGGAGUCUGCAACUCGACUCCAUGAAGUUGGAAUCGCUAGUAAUCGUAGAUCAGAAUGCUACGGUGAAUACGUUCCCGGGCCUUGUACACACCGCCCGUCACACCAUGGGAGUGGGCUGCAAAAGAAGUGGGUAGACUAACCUUCGGGAUGUCGCUCACCACUUUGUGGUUCAUGACUGGGGUGAAGUCGGAACAAGGUA
Molecule: ribosomal RNA, 1500 nt
Filed under: metagenome
Description: bacterial SSU rRNA
Rfam family: Bacterial small subunit ribosomal RNA
Source: RNAcentral